AUUCGGCCUGACAUUUGUGGUCCUCUACGGUGCCUAUUCGCUUGCUUUUUGGUACAGCUCGGUUUUAGUAGCAGCAUCCAGGCUGUAUCCCGGCAGGGCAUUCAUUGUAUUCUUUGCAGUCAUGGUGGGCUCCUUUUCACUGGGAAAUGCUCUGCCGCAGCUCAACAGCAUCGCUGUGGCACAAAUGGCGGCUGGCUGUGUCUUUGAAGUCAUUGACGGA
This is a long non-coding RNA of Dermacentor silvarum, 220 nucleotides long. RefSeq lists it as uncharacterized. The record is from RefSeq and is a predicted model, not a curated record. The transcript is spliced from 3 exons. Lineage: Eukaryota; Metazoa; Arthropoda; Arachnida; Ixodida; Ixodidae.